RNAcentral lists this ribosomal RNA (492 nucleotides) under uncultured bacterium. Its description in RNAcentral is "partial 16S ribosomal RNA". It matches the Rfam family "Bacterial small subunit ribosomal RNA", at positions 29 to 507 of the family's 1533-position model. The record is from RNAcentral.
AGUGAACGCUGGCGGUAGGCCUAACACAUGCAAGUCGAACGGCAGCACAGUAAGAGCUUGCUCUUACGGGUGGCGAGUGGCGGACGGGUGAGGAAUACAUCGGAAUCUACUUUUUCGUGGGGGAUAACGUAGGGAAACUUACGCUAAUACCGCAUACGACCUACGGGUGAAAGCAGGGGAUCUUCGGACCUUGCGCGAUUGAAUGAGCCGAUGUCGGAUUAGCUAGUUGGCGGGGUAAAGGCCCACCAAGGCGACGAUCCGUAGCUGGUCUGAGAGGAUGAUCAGCCACACUGGAACUGAGACAAGGUCCAGACUCCUACGGGAGGCAGCAGUGGGGAAUAUUGGACAAUGGGCGCAAGCCUGAUCCAGCCAUACCGCGUGGGUGAAGAAGGCCUUCGGGUUGUAAAGCCCUUUUGUUGGGAAAGAAAAGCAGCAGGUUAAUACCCCGCUGUUCUGACGGUACCCAAAGGAUAAGCACCGGCUAACUUCGUG